This is a non-coding RNA of Echinostoma caproni, 73 nucleotides long. The record is from Rfam. NCBI's taxonomy places the organism in Eukaryota, Metazoa, Platyhelminthes, Trematoda, Plagiorchiida, Echinostomatidae.
GUCCCGGUGGCGCAAUGGAUAGCGCGUCGGACUUCUAAUCCGGAGGUUGUGGGUUCGAGUCCCAUCCGGGACG